GGGGAAGAGUAUGGGUCCACACCUGGCUAGGCCCUUUAAAACUUGGAGUUUUGAAUCCCAGCCAUUGACCAGAGACAAAUACAGAAGAUCUAUGGCACGGGUUUGCUAACCUGGGGCACAGAGAGGUUAAGGGCAGAGAUCUGAUGAAAGCUCAAGUGGCAGGAGAUUGUUUGCUUUUCUAAGAGGGCCUCCUGAACAGCAGAGGCCAAGAGUUCCUUCCUUGGGGAUGAGAAGGGCGGGUGAUGCCAUCUUCCUCCUCCACUCCUUUCUCCCACUGCUCCCCUUACCCACACACACACCAGUACGGUUGGACUUAAGAAAGAAACACAACACCUACAGUGGAGGCUGGGGUCCCUUACACAAACACCACCCUCUCUAUGCCUGGCUGUGGCAUUUUUGUAAGAGCAAGUCUGUUUGUGAGCCAGCUCAGCCGGCCUCUCCCUCAGAACACAGCACCCCCCCACCCCCGUGUACCAAGUCUACUGAUUAAACAGUACUCCAAACUGUCAGCUUCAGUUCUGGCAGAAAUAGGAGUAGACUUGCCUUUUCAUCCUUUAAUUUUAAUUUUUAAAUUAAUUAUUUAAUUUUUGUCUUACAUAUAUUUUUCUUAUAUAUAUAUUUCUACAUAUUUUUCUUCCUUUUUUAAUCUUUUUUUCCCUUUUUUUGAUAUCAGGCUUAUAAGUUUUUGUUCAUUUGUUGGUUUGUUUGUUUCCUUCUCUUAUUUUUUGGACCAAGCUUCUUUGUUCUUUUUUUCGUCCUUCCUUAUUCCUUUAUCCUUCUUUCUUUCCUAUUCUUUGGAAUCGGGCUUAAGAUUUUUUGAUAGUUUGUGUGCUCUUUUGUUCCUUUUCUCUUGUCUUGGAUCAGGUUUUCUUUUUUUCUUAAAUCUUUUCCAGGCUUAUUUUAACAAAGAAAUCAGAAAACAACAACAGGUUAACACCACGACAUAUCAUAGUGAAACUUGCAAAAUGCAAAGAUAAAAAGAGAAUCCUGAAAGCAGCUUGGGAGAAAAAGUCCUCAGCCUAUAAGGGUAGACAUGUAAGGCUGGCAGCAGACCUGUCCACAGAGACCUGGCAGGCCCGAAAGGACUGGUAUGAUAUAUUCAAUGAGCUAAAUAAAUGGGGGAAAAUAUGCAACCAAGAAUAAUUUAUCCUACAAGGUUGUCAUUCAGAAUAGGAGAAAUAAAGAGUUUCCAAGAUAAACAAAAACUAAAGGAGUUCAUAAACACUAAACCAGUCCUGAAAGAAAUAUUGAAGGGAAUACUUUGACUGGGAAAGAGAGACCUAAAGUAACAAAGACUAGAAAGGAAUAGAGGCAAUCUACAGGAACGGCAACUUGACAGGUAAUACAAUGGCACUAAAUUCAAAUAAUUACUCAAUGUAAAAGCAGUAGAUACUCCAAUCAAAAGACUUAGGGUAUCAGAGUGGAUAAAAAAAACCAAGACCCAUUGAUAUGUUGCCUAGAAGAGACUCAUUUUAAGCACAAAGACACCUCCAGAUUAAAGUGAGAGAGUGGAGGACCAUUAAUCAUGCUAAUGGACAUCAAAAUAAAGACAUCCUCAUAUUAGAAAAAUUAGAUUGUAAGCCAAACACUGUAAUAAGAGAUGAAAAAGGAGAGUAUAUCAUAAGAAAAGGAUCUAUUCAACAAGAUAUUUUUUAAGGUUUUAUCUAUUCAUGAGAGAUACAGAGACAUAGGCAGAGGGAGAAGCAGGCUCCAUGCAGGGAGCCCGAUAUGGAACUCGAUCCUAGGACUCUGGGAUCAAGCCCUAAGCCAAAGGCAGACACUCAACCACUGAGCCACCGAGGCGGCCCUCAACAAGAAGAUCUUAUAAGUGUAAAUAUUUAUGUACCUAACUUGGGAACAAAUAUAGAAAACAAUUAAUAACAAACUUAAAGAAACACAUUGAUAAUAAUACAAUAAUAAUAGGGGACACCCCACUCACAUCAAUAGAUCAUCUAAGCAGAAAAUCAACAAAGACAUAGGGCUUUGAAUGAUACUAUGGACUGGAUGGACUUAACAGAUAUAUCGAGAGGAUUUCAUCCUAAAGCAGUAGGACACACAUUCUUUUCAAGUGCACAUGAAACAUUCUCCAGAAUAGAUCUCAUACUGGAUCAAAAUCAGCCCUCAACAAUUAUAAAAAGAUUGAGAGUAUUCCAUGCCUAUUUUCAGAGCACAAUGCUAUGAAACUUGAAGUCGAACAAAAGAAAAAAAUUGGAAGGAACACAAAUACAUGGAAGUUAAGGAACAUCUGACUAAAGAAUGAAUGGGUCAAUGAGGAAAUUAAAGAGCAAUUUUAUAAAUACAUAGAAAUAAAUGAAAAUGAAUACAUGACAGUUCAAAAUCUUUGGGAUGCACCACCAAAGGCAGUCCUCAGAGGGAAUUAUUUGGCAACACAGGCCUUCCUCAAGAAGCAAGAAACGCCUCCAAUAUACAACCUAACCUUAAUCCUAAAGGAGCUUCAAAAAGGACAGCAAAUAAAGCCUAACUUUAUUUGCUGGAGCAGGAGAAGGGAAAUAAUAAUGAUUAGAGCAGAAAUCAAUGAUAUAGAAAUUUUUUAAAAGAGGGAACUGAUCAAUGAAACUAGGAGCUGAUUCUUUCAAAGAAUUAAAAAAAUUGAUAAACCCCUAGCCAGACUUAUAAAAAAAA
This 2643-nucleotide long non-coding RNA is filed under the name Canis lupus familiaris (dog). RNAcentral's name for it is "lncRNA (ENSCAFG00000052545.1)". The record is from RNAcentral. Lineage: Eukaryota; Metazoa; Chordata; Mammalia; Carnivora; Canidae.